UACGGAAGCAGCAGUGGGGAAUAUUGCACAAUGGGCGCAAGCCUGAUGCAGCCAUGCCGCGUGUAUGAAAAAGGCCUUCGGGUUGUAAAGUACUUUCAGUCGUGAGGAAGGUGUUAAGGUUAAUAACCUUAGCAAUUGACGUUAGCGACAGAAGAAGCACCGGCUAACUCCGUGCCAGCAGCCGCGGUAAUACGGAGGGUGCGAGCGUUAAUCGGAAUUACUGGGCGUAAAGGGCACGCAGGCGGUUAAUUAAGUUGGAUGUGAAAUCCCCGGGCUUAACCUGGGAAUGGCAUUCAAGACUGGUUAGCUAGAGUCUUGUAGAGGGGGUAGAAUUCCAUGUGUAGCGGUGAAAUGCGUAGAGAUGUGGAGGAAUACCGGUGGCGAAGGCGGCCCCUGGACAAAGACUGACGCUCAUGUGCGAAAGCGUGGGGAGCAAACAGGGAUUAGAUACC
RNAcentral lists this ribosomal RNA (452 nucleotides) under uncultured bacterium. RNAcentral describes it as "bacterial SSU rRNA". It matches the Rfam family "Bacterial small subunit ribosomal RNA", at positions 340 to 786 of the family's 1533-position model. The record is from RNAcentral.